AGAGCCAUAGGGACGGAUCCCAAACCAGCCUUAACGAAAGAAACCUGCCAUGGGAGUCUGGAAGACUGGUGACCGUCCUAAUGACUUA
This 88-nucleotide microRNA precursor is filed under the name Equus caballus (horse). RNAcentral's name for it is "mir-9014 microRNA precursor family". It matches the Rfam family "mir-9014 microRNA precursor family". Lineage: Eukaryota; Metazoa; Chordata; Mammalia; Perissodactyla; Equidae. The record is from Rfam by way of RNAcentral.